CAAUAGCGUAUAUUAAAGUUGUUGCGGUUAAAAAGCUCGUAGUUGGAGUUCUGCCAGGUGCCGCCUGUCCGCCCCAGUGGUGAGUACGUGGCGCGCAUUUGGCCCUUUCAAGGGGAGCGUAUCUGCACUUUAUUGUGUGGUGCGGGAUCCUUGACUUUUACUUUGAGGAAAUAGGAGUGUUCCAAGCAGGCUCUCGUCGUGCACAGCUCAGCAUGGAAUAAUAGCAUUGGACCUCGAUUCUAAGCUGUUGGUUGCCAGAAGCGAGGUAAUGAUGAAGAGGGAUAGUUGGGGGCAUUCGUAUUUAACUGUCAGAGGUGAAAUUCUUAGAUUUGUUAAAGACGGACUACUGCGAAAGCAUCUGCCAUGGAUGUUUUCAUUGA
RNAcentral lists this ribosomal RNA (380 nucleotides) under uncultured eukaryote. Its description in RNAcentral is "partial 18S ribosomal RNA". It matches the Rfam family "Eukaryotic small subunit ribosomal RNA", at positions 592 to 976 of the family's 1831-position model. The record is from RNAcentral.